GACGAACGCUGGCGGCGUGCCUAAUACAUGCAAGUAGAACGCUGAAGGAGGAGCUUGCUUCUCUGGAUGAGUUGCGAACGGGUGAGUAACGCGUAGGUAACCUGCCUGGUAGCGGGGGAUAACUAUUGGAAACGAUAGCUAAAACCGCAUAAGAGUAGAUGUUGCAUGACAUUUGCUUAAAAGGUGCAAUUGCAUCACUACCAGAUGGACCUGCGUUGUAUUAGCUAGUUGGUGGGGUGACGGCUCACCAAGGCGACGAUACAUAGCCGACCUGAGAGGGUGAUCGGCCACACUGGGACUGAGACACGGCCCAGACUCCUACGGGAGGCAGCAGUAGGGAAUCUUCGGCAAUGGACGGAAGUCUGACCGAGCAACGCCGCGUGAGUGAAGAAGGUUUUCGGAUCGUAAAGCUCUGUUGUAAGAGAAGAACGAGUGUGAGAGUGGAAAGUUCACACUGUGACGGUAUCUUACCAGAAAGGGACGGCUAACUACGU
RNAcentral lists this ribosomal RNA (494 nucleotides) under uncultured bacterium. Its description in RNAcentral is "partial 16S ribosomal RNA". It matches the Rfam family "Bacterial small subunit ribosomal RNA", at positions 28 to 506 of the family's 1533-position model. The record is from RNAcentral.